CACUGGCCCUGUUGUUCGAAAAACCAAGAACUGCAUGACAAAAAUCAACAAAGCUAUGAUUAAAGACCUUGACCAGGAGUUUGGCUCUCCAAAAACAAUACUGGAGGCUGCAAUAACAUCAAACAGUACAUCUUUUGAUGAUGCUGUUGUGAAGUAUCUGAAAAUCCAUAUAAAUGCCCUCCUCAAUUCACCCCCAAAGAAGUCCGCAGUUGGCAGGUUCUUUUCAGCAGUGGGAAAAGCUGCAAGCACAACCUUCAUGUGGUUGUCCAGUAGCUUAAACCUCACCUGUGUCACUCUGACCUGACCUGUCAACAGACCUUUCUCAUAGCGGCCAUUUUGACGUACAGCAGCAGUUCUGUUCUGUUUCUGAUGGCAGAUGGCACCUUAGCCUCUGCCUCAGUGUGUGAAUGGGGUAAAUGUGAUGUAGUGUAAAAGUGCUUUUAGUGGUGGUUGUCCGCUGUGAGAAACGUUCAGUGCCGCAUGUCAGCUCAGUGUUCAACACUGUGGCCUAGCAGCAAAAAUCAGGGUUGGAUUCCCAGCCUUGAUCUUUGCGGUAUGGAGUUUCUAUACUCCCCGUGUUGGCAUGGGUUUUCUGUGGUUGCUGCAGUUUCCUCCCACAUUUCAAAAAAAAAAAAAAAAACAUAAAAUCAACAAAAUAAAUAAUUUAAAAAAAAUCUAAAAUAAUGUUUGAUUUUGGUCGUGUUUUCUACUGCUAUCAGAUUGGUUGAAUCUGAAUUUUUUUGCAUUGAGUGCAUGUGUAAUUUUCAGCUCAAUACAACAAAAUGAGCUUCACAAUAGAACAGUUUUUCUCAAACGUUUUCAUUUCAAAGACCCCUAAACUGCCACAAAUUAGACCACGGAUCCCCAUUUUGAUAAGAUUUUCCCCCAUCUGAAAGGAUUUUUGAUUUUAGAUGUUUUAUUACAGAAAUUGUAUAAGUCCCAAACAGUCAAACAUUCUGUCAUUGGGUUUUUUAUGGAUGGAAUAAUAGUGAAAAUAAAUAUAACUUUAAUUAUCGUCCCCAGUCUCAUCUAUUGUUACGACUACAAUUAGGCCCAUGAAAGCGGCUUGACUGUCUCUUUAGAUAAAACGUUUUUAUUCUUCCUGUGCACCUAAAUGCAAUCAGAGUCCGAAGAUGUUCUCACUUACACAUGAAACACGCAUUGAUGUCGGCAUACAGCAUUACUAUCCUAACGUUUUGAACAUGCAGCAUUAUUUAACUAAUCUCUUCUCCCUUACAGGACGUGGCGACGCAACUCAGACAGCUGCAGGACGAGCUGCUGAGGUUAAAGAAUAGGAUGAACUACCUGCUUCCAGCAGCAGACACUUUGCCCAACUUCGCUCUGGAGUCUCAAGACAUCUAAAUCAUCUUUGCCAUUUUCAUUUGUCAGAUUGUAAUUCACACUUGCUUUUUAGUGUAUGGAUUGCUUUCUUAUUUUCUUUGUGUGUGCUUUUGUGUGCAAGGGCCAGUGUUUUAUUCCAGCUAUCCUCUAACUAGCAGACACAAGAGGCAGGACAGAUAUUUUUUGGGGAAGCCUAUCUGGCAACCACCUGUGAGCCCAAGGACUGUUAUUCAGGUACACUCCCCCCUGGUCCUGGAAGCUGCUGGGUCUUUGAAGGUGGGCAUGGACAUUUAGACAUCGCCCUGUCCCACCCAGUCGCCAAAAAAACAAAGGUGUCUUCAACUUUGUGAAGCUGAAAGUCGACAGCAACUGGGGCCAUCCUGACCACUAGUGUCUGUACUUCUUCAGGGUCCAUGGGAAGCUUGCAGGCUGAAGACUGAAAUAAAGGAGAAGACAGAAGACCACCAUCUGGGUGCAGAGCAGUGAAUAAGUAUAUAAAGAGAGGUGAAAAUAAGCUGAAGGAGGCUCCAUGUGGAUCAGAGGAGAUACGUGGCUGUCUACACCGCAAAUUUUCUGUCCAAUUUCUGCAACACAAGCCGUAAUCUCCUCUACAUGUGCCCAGAUGUUUUCAGUCUGAUUCACUGUCACUGUGGACUGCACGAGAUAGACUGGUGUUCAGUUCUGGCUCUGAUUCUCUCUCUGUGUAGUUUGUGUAUUCUCUCCGUGUAUGUGUGGGUUUUCUCCGGGCUCCAGUUUCAUCCCACACUACAAAGACAUGCAGAUUAGGUUAAUUGGAUGUAUGCAUUAUUUAAACAAUAAAGACUUUUUUAUUUACUACAUGUUUUUAAUAAUG
This is a long non-coding RNA of Micropterus salmoides (largemouth bass), 2194 nucleotides long. RefSeq lists it as uncharacterized. The transcript has 3 exons. The record is from RefSeq and is a predicted model, not a curated record. Lineage: Eukaryota; Metazoa; Chordata; Actinopteri; Centrarchiformes; Centrarchidae.